RNAcentral lists this ribosomal RNA (519 nucleotides) under uncultured Planctomycetaceae bacterium. RNAcentral describes it as "bacterial SSU rRNA". It matches the Rfam family "Bacterial small subunit ribosomal RNA", at positions 89 to 618 of the family's 1533-position model. Lineage: Bacteria; Pseudomonadati; Planctomycetota; Planctomycetia; Planctomycetales; Planctomycetaceae. The record is from RNAcentral.
GGGACAGCGGCGAAAGGGACAGUAAUAUGUAGGUACCUACCCUCGGGUCCGGGAUAGCUGCGGGAAACUGCAGGUAAUACCGGAUGACAUCUCCGGAUCAAAGGUGUGAUUCCGCCCGGGGAGGGGCCUGCAUCCUAUUAGCUUGUUGGUGGGGUAAUGGCCUACCAAGGCGACGAUGGGUAGCGGGUGUGAGAGCAUGACCCGCGUCAUUGGGACUGAGACACUGCCCAGACACCUACGGGUGGCUGCAGUCGAGAAUCUUCGGCAAUGGGGGAAACCCUGACCGAGCGACGCCGCGUGCGGGAUGAAGGCCUUCGGGUUGUAAACCGCUGUCGUAGAGGAGGAAAUGCAGGGGGGUUCUCCCCCUUGCUUGACCUAUUCUAGGAGGAAGGACGGGCUAAGUUCGUGCCAGCAGCCGCGGUAAGACGAACCGUCCAAACGUUACUCGGAAUUACUGGGCUUAAAGGGUGCGUAGGCUGCGCAGAAAGUUGGGUGUGAAAGCCCUCGGCUCAACCGGGG